CACGUAGGGCGCAAGCGUUGUCCGGAAUUAUUGGGCGUAAAGAGCUCGUAGGCGGUCUGUCGCGUCUGCUGUGAAAACUCAGGGCUUAACCCUGAGCUUGCAGUGGGUACGGGCAGACUAGAGUGCGGUAGGGGGAGAUUGGAAUUCCUGGUGUAGCGGUGGAAUGCGCAGAUAUCAGGAGGAACACCGAUGGCGAAGGCAGAUCUCUGGGCCGUAACUGACGCUGAGGAGCGAAAGCGUGGGGAGCGAACAGG
Molecule: ribosomal RNA, 254 nt
Filed under: uncultured bacterium
Lineage: Bacteria
Description: partial 16S ribosomal RNA
Rfam family: Bacterial small subunit ribosomal RNA
Source: RNAcentral